This 166-nucleotide ribosomal RNA is filed under the name uncultured bacterium. RNAcentral's name for it is "partial 16S rRNA". It matches the Rfam family "Bacterial small subunit ribosomal RNA", at positions 355 to 511 of the family's 1533-position model. The record is from RNAcentral.
UAGGGAAUCUUCGGCAAUGGGGGCAACCCUGACCGAGCAACGCCGCGUGAGUGAAGAAGGUUUUCGGAUCGUAAAGCUCUGUUGUAAGAGAACGAACGUGUGUGAGAGUGGAAAGUUCACACAGUGACGGUAACUUACCAGAAAGGGACGGCUAACUACGUGCCGG